GGGAAAUGAUGGGCCAAUAGUCUCCUUUUCCUUUUAAGCAUUGAUCCUUGAGAAGAGGGCAUGAUAUGAUGUCUAGUGAUCCAAGCCUGGCAGGGAGGCCCUCCAUGGGCAAAGACUGGAGUUUAGGACAGCUAUCAAUACAUAAAGUUUGAAGAGAAAUGAGGCUUUGGAGGCCUCUAGAUAUAGAUUUUAGAUUCUUGAAUCCACAGAUGCAAAGGUCUGUUAGUGAAAUGGGCAGUAGUAACCCAUCUUCAUCAGGAAAGGAAACUUCCAAAUCUGUGCUAGGACAUGUAUUGCGAACUGUCAAUUCUUUAAGAAAGGUGAGUCUAUGGAGUCCCCAUUGUGAUAUUGGCUGUGUCAACUUCUGGCAAUCCCAGAUCAUGAGUCUAGUUAGAUUUGGAGACAAACCCUCUUCUGGAAAUGACACCAGACCAUGGCAAUCGUAUAUCUCUAAGGACUGAAGAGACACAAGGUUCUGCAUCUGAUUUGGCAGGCACCUAAAAUUCUCACAGCCAUAGAUUCUGAAAUUGAUAAGAGUUGGGAUAGACAAUCCCAUUAGUGGAAAUGACUCUAACUCAGGACAAUCUAUUAUUGACAGCUCAGUGAGAUGCGAAAGCCCAUUGCCUAAAGACCUUAACAAUUGUGUCGGGCAAUUGCGUAUAGAAAGAGACUUGAGAGAAUCAGAAAACUUGCCAGUUGAGAAGGAUGAGAGAGACAAGCAUCCUUCAAUAUCAAAC
RNAcentral lists this unclassified non-coding RNA (737 nucleotides) under Hevea brasiliensis (rubber tree). Lineage: Eukaryota; Viridiplantae; Streptophyta; Magnoliopsida; Malpighiales; Euphorbiaceae. The record is from RNAcentral.